This is a long non-coding RNA of Mercenaria mercenaria, 841 nucleotides long. RefSeq lists it as uncharacterized. The record is from RefSeq and is a predicted model, not a curated record. NCBI's taxonomy places the organism in Eukaryota, Metazoa, Mollusca, Bivalvia, Venerida, Veneridae. The transcript has 2 exons.
GGCGUUAUUUUCGCGGAUAUUGAUAGAGUGUAUAAAUUGCACUGCUUCCAUUGGUUAGCGGACAUGACAACAUAGAACGGCACUAAACAGGAUCGCGUGCUUGGAAACAUUGUAACACUUUGUGGAGAAACGGAUUGGUUGUUAAACUGACGAAAAAGUAACGAGAGACACAAAAAGGAUAUGAAGGCUGUCGGGCAAAAAUCAUCUUCAAAAAUAAUGACUCUUGUCAUAGUUGCCAUGGUGACGUUGCUAGGUUAUGUAUCAACAUAUAGAAUAGAAUCAAAAAGUGGGUCAGGCGUACCUUGUGCAAAAUGUGAUGUGCAAGACAUACACCCGUUUCUUAUGAAAAAACUAGCACCGAUAUGCGCGGCCUGUGGUGACGUUUUCGGACAUGGAUACGAACAUUGUUGUCUGUGUCACGAAUACUUCUUCGAGCAAUGCAAAGAUGCUUUUAGAAAAUGAUUCACGGAAGGAAACAGGUCAACGUCAACAAAAUUAACAUAUCCAUCUGCAACCAAAAACGGCGCUUACAAAAGAUAUUCAUACUGCAAGAGCUGUAUGACACUCAAAUGAUGCACGGAUGAACUCUUUGGAAGCAUUAUACUGGACUUUUGCGCUCUUAUGAUUAUCAUUGCAAACAAUCUUUCUUUUCUCUUUCCUUCAAUUAAAGGAGUUUAUCACUUUAUUGAGAAAAGAAUAAUAAAACCUGCCACUACAUACAUUCACAACUGAACAUCUUAACUGAAUGACUGAUCACUAAUUCUCUCAUUGAUUGAUUGGUGUAUUUAUUUAUUUGUUACCCAACAAAGUGUUACAGUAAACAUGAACAACAUAAAUUUGA